Molecule: long non-coding RNA, 975 nt
Filed under: Chrysolophus pictus (golden pheasant)
Lineage: Eukaryota; Metazoa; Chordata; Aves; Galliformes; Phasianidae
Description: lncRNA (ENSCPIG00010002932.1)
Source: RNAcentral
GUAGGAUUGUUUUGUGGUCUUAAAUCUGAAACUUGUUUUCUCCUUUGGCUUCAGGUGCAGAUAUUGUUUAAUAAUGACUUUGGAGAAGGUUUCACUACCCAGUCUCCUGAUCAGGAAGAAAGAUGAAGGUUUUUGGAGGACUUAAUCACGAGCAGAGCUGCUGUUGAACCUCCACUUCCAAGAAGUAAGCAGGCUGGGCAGACACGGGAAGCACUGCCUGCAGCAGCACCAGCUGAGCUCCGUGUGCCAGAGGAAGGAAUGCGGCGUAUGGAGGAGCAGGAGGAGGAGACCCUGCGUGACUCUGCGUGUUCUGCAGGGCCGUUCCUCACAGACUGCCACUGACAGAUGUUUGGUGCACUGCAGAGCCUGUUGGUGCGGACGAGGUUGCUGCCCCUCAAAGUGCACUGUGGAUGGACAGCGCGAUGACAGCCCAAGGAUGGCAGCAGAAGAUGCAGCACAGCCCUCUCCAGCAGCAAGGCAGGAGACGGGCAGUGGUACCGCAGCUCCUCUGACAGCUUUGCAGCUACAUCAGGAAGCAGAAGAUGUGGAUUUGAAAGAACUCAGUUACUGGGACGUUGCCCUGUUCUUCCCCUACCUGUCCCCUUGCCUCAGCCCAGAUUCCUCUUGCAUUCUCGUAGGUGUCCCUUCCAUCCCCCAGGCUGCUCCUUGCUUCCCCCAAGGUAACUCUUUACCUUCCCAUAACAGCCCACCCAUAAUUCCCUCAGAGCCCCAAUAGCCCCCUCAGUAUUUACCCUUAGGCACCCCACAACCUCCCAGAGAGCCCAUAGCCCCUUAAUGACCUCCUCAGGCCUGGUACUCUGUUGUAGUAGGUGUUAACGGGAUAUCGGGUUGUAACGCAAUAGGACCUCCCCUGCUCUGUGAUUGACGUAUGAUGCAUGCUUGGGGGGGCGUAGACGAAGAGGGAUGUGUAUUUAGGGGGUUCUAGUGUCUUAAUAAACGCCAUUCGCUUCUCCA